Molecule: long non-coding RNA, 277 nt
Organism: Gymnogyps californianus (California condor)
Lineage: Eukaryota; Metazoa; Chordata; Aves; Accipitriformes; Cathartidae
Exons: 3
Source: RefSeq, a predicted model, not a curated record
GAAUGGUCGUGGUCUGGAGAUCUGGGCUGGCAUCAGAAACCACCAAAUCCAAUGAAGUUCUGCUACCAACUUAUUUGAGUUAAUUGAAGAAACUGAGAGGAAAACAGUUAACUCCUGUCAAUUUGGGAUUUGCACUGUCUGAUUUACCAAUCCCUAAGGGAGAUAGAGCCAGAAUCUGGAUCUGACACCCUAUGUGGAGCAGGAGAUGCUUCGAGCAGCCAGCAUGCAAAGAGGUUUAAGAAAAAAAACCACAAAGUACUCCUGGCCAUGUAAUAAA